UGAGGUGCAUCCAUGCUAGCAGAGU
Molecule: non-coding RNA, 25 nt
Filed under: Mus musculus (house mouse)
Lineage: Eukaryota; Metazoa; Chordata; Mammalia; Rodentia; Muridae
Source: RNAcentral